ACAACCGUCAACUUCGUCGUCAAAGCCACUCUGGACAAGAUAAAAGACCAAGUUCCCUAGAAGAACUAAAUGCUGAUCACUUCUCCAGUUGAUGAACUGUGGAAAAUCGAACUUUAAGAAUGAGCAUAUUGAAUAACUAAUAUGCCCUUCCUCAUUUUGGUUGCUCGUAAUAGAAAAUGCGACAACAGCCAUGUCCAAUUUGGAUAAGGCAUAGAUAGUCUGGUCCACAACCACAGCCCUUCUUCGGAAAUAGCAAUCUGUAUUCUCCACUUGGACUGGACACCACUUAUUUUUAAUUACAUUAUAAGCCCACAGUGCGCCGUCAUUAUCCUUCCGGCCACAUAUACUAAACAGUAAGACUUCAUCACAAACGGCAUAACCCUGUAUCUCUGUAGUACCAUAUUCAUCAGAAUAUGGAUAAGAGCACAGCGGCUGCCAAGAGUCAGCAAUAGGGUCAUACUCCUCAAAGGACGGUUCUGGUACAUCACAUGAGCAAUAUGGAUCCGAAAGAGAGUAAAUUUUCCCAUAUGCAGACACAUGAGUUCCAAACCAUUUGGGAGCUGGCCUUUUAAUUGAUGACACCAGUUUCCCAGUUUUGAUGUCGAGAACACGUCCAUCGCAUUUGGGGAAACACACAUCCUCGUCAAAGAAAUCGGGACCACCAUCUGGCAAAAUAUACAACUUGGCACCCAAAAUACAAAAUUUCCACAUUCCCUAACCCAAAUCCUCUGCAGUGAAUCGUGAUACAGUUUGAACUACUGGUUGGG
RNA transcript from Fragaria vesca subsp. vesca, 767 nucleotides. RefSeq lists it as uncharacterized. NCBI's taxonomy places the organism in Eukaryota, Viridiplantae, Streptophyta, Magnoliopsida, Rosales, Rosaceae. The transcript has 2 exons. The record is from RefSeq and is a predicted model, not a curated record.